This 1775-nucleotide ribosomal RNA is filed under the name Escherichia coli. RNAcentral's name for it is "partial 23S ribosomal RNA". It matches the Rfam family "Bacterial large subunit ribosomal RNA", at positions 513 to 2273 of the family's 2925-position model. The record is from RNAcentral. Lineage: Bacteria; Pseudomonadati; Pseudomonadota; Gammaproteobacteria; Enterobacterales; Enterobacteriaceae.
GGCGAAAAGAACCCCGGCGAGGGGAGUGAAAAAGAACCUGAAACCGUGUACGUACAAGCAGUGGGAGCCUCUUAAUGGGGUGACUGCGUACCUUUUGUAUAAUGGGUCAGCGACUUAUAUUCUGUAGCAAGGUUAACCGAAUAGGGGAGCCGAAGGGAAACCGAGUCUUAACUGGGCGUUAAGUUGCAGGGUAUAGACCCGAAACCCGGUGAUCUAGCCAUGGGCAGGUUGAAGGUUGGGUAACACUAACUGGAGGACCGAACCGACUAAUGUUGAAAAAUUAGCGGAUGACUUGUGGCUGGGGGUGAAAGGCCAAUCAAACCGGGAGAUAGCUGGUUCUCCCCGAAAGCUAUUUAGGUAGCGCCUCGUGAAUUCAUCUCCGGGGGUAGAGCACUGUUUCGGCAAGGGGGUCAUCCCGACUUACCAACCCGAUGCAAACUGCGAAUACCGGAGAAUGUUAUCACGGGAGACACACGGCGGGUGCUAACGUCCGUCGUGAAGAGGGAAACAACCCAGACCGCCAGCUAAGGUCCCAAAGUCAUGGUUAAGUGGGAAACGAUGUGGGAAGGCCCAGACAGCCAGGAUGUUGGCUUAGAAGCAGCCAUCAUUUAAAGAAAGCGUAAUAGCUCACUGGUCGAGUCGGCCUGCGCGGAAGAUGUAACGGGGCUAAACCAUGCACCGAAGCUGCGGCAGCGACACUAUGUGUUGUUGGGUAGGGGAGCGUUCUGUAAGCCUGUGAAGGUGGCCUGUGAGGGUUGCUGGAGGUAUCAGAAGUGCGAAUGCUGACAUAAGUAACGAUAAAGCGGGUGAAAAGCCCGCUCGCCGGAAGACCAAGGGUUCCUGUCCAACGUUAAUCGGGGCAGGGUGAGUCGACCCCUAAGGCGAGGCCGAAAGGCGUAGUCGAUGGGAAACAGGUUAAUAUUCCUGUACUUGGUGUUACUGCGAAGGGGGGACGGAGAAGGCUAUGUUGGCCGGGCGACGGUUGUCCCGGUUUAAGCGUGUAGGCUGGUUUUCCAGGCAAAUCCGGAAAAUCAAGGCUGAGGCGUGAUGACGAGGCACUACGGUGCUGAAGCGACAAAUGCCCUGCUUCCAGGAAAAGCCUCUAAGCAUCAGGUAACAUCAAAUCGUACCCCAAACCGACACAGGUGGUCAGGUAGAGAAUACCAAGGCGCUUGAGAGAACUCGGGUGAAGGAACUAGGCAAAAUGGUGCCGUAACUUCGGGAGAAGGCACGCUGAUAUGUAGGUGAAGCGACUUGCUCGUGGAGCUGAAAUCAGUCGAAGAUACCAGCUGGCUGCAACUGUUUAUUAAAAACACAGCACUGUGCAAACACGAAAGUGGACGUAUACGGUGUGACGCCUGCCCGGUGCCGGAAGGUUAAUUGAUGGGGUUAGCGGUAACGCGAAGCUCUUGAUCGAAGCCCCGGUAAACGGCGGCCGUAACUAUAACGGUCCUAAGGUAGCGAAAUUCCUUGUCGGGUAAGUUCCGACCUGCACGAAUGGCGUAAUGAUGGCCAGGCUGUCUCCACCCGAGACUCAGUGAAAUUGAACUCGCUGUGAAGAUGCAGUGUACCCGCGGCAAGACGGAAAGACCCCGUGAACCUUUACUAUAGCUUGACACUGAACAUUGAGCCUUGAUGUGUAGGAUAGGUGGGAGGCUUUGAAGUGUGGACGCCAGUCUGCAUGGAGCCGACCUUGAAAUACCACCCUUUAAUGUUUGAUGUUCUAACGUGGGCCCCUUACCGGGGUUGCGGACAGUGUCUGGUGGGUAGUUUGA